UCAUGUCACUGCUGCUGUGUGAUUCUAUUUUAUAGCCAAUUUCACCAUUUUAUGGAUUUCCAUAGAUUAGUUAGCACAUAAAGCAUACAUGUUAUCAAAUAUAAUCUCGAUUAGCCACUCCAAUAGUUAAUCAUUCUCAAACAUUUUCAUGCCAUCCAUGAGCUAUAUCAUAAGAUUAUAUACACAAAAGGAUUAUAAUGCUAUACAUGCCAUAUUCUCAAAAUAUGCAAGCCACCAUACCGAGAUGGUCCGUCGAUAGUGUGAGCGUGCCUUCGACCGUCCUGAUCUCCAAACCGGCUUGUCAAAACUACAAGGAAUGGAAGGGAAGGAGUAAGCAUAAAUGCUUAGUAAGUUUACAUGCAAAUAACAAAUAACUUAACAAAGCAAUUAUACCAAGCAACAUUAGCAUAAUAUCACCAAUACAUAUUUCACAUUUCUAUUCAUCAUUCAUCGUCUUACUACAUUAUUGUUGUCGUAUCAAGUCUCAACCCGAGGGUUAAGUACAUACCUGUCCAAAGUGCCCAUUCCACAACACUUACCAAUACGUCACUUGCAUCUUAAGUAUUCUUCCAUUUCACUAGAAUUUUACCCGUUGAACAUAUCGGAAUAUAACUCAGAUACAUGGAAAGUUUGCACAUAAGUGCCACAUAUGUAGCCAAGCUACCAUGUAACCCACCCAUAAGGCAACUCGGACUCAACUCAAUGAGCUCGGGCGUUCGCAUCCAUAAGUGAACUCGGACUCAACUCAACGAGCUCGGAUGCCUAGUUACAUCUCACGAACUCGGACUCAACUCAAAGAGUUCGGACGUUCGCAUCCAUAAGUUAACUCGGACUCAACUCAACGAGUUCGGAUGUUCGCAUCCAUAAGUGAACUCGGACUCAACUCAACGAGUUCGAAUACCUAAAUAUCCGAAUCUAUUCCUAAGGUUCAACGAGACUUUCCUCGUUCGUACUCCUUUACCAUUCUCCUUGGAAUACCAAUAACGAUACUUCGGUAGUCCUUCACAUUUUUCACAUAAUUCAUAAAAUUUUUGCAUGUUGUCCAACAAUAACCACAAAGCAUAGAAUUGCAUGAUAACAAUCAUAAUAUCGUAUAAAUAGCAUUAAAUGAUUUAAAAUAAUGAUUAUAUUACAAUAUUUACAUAUGACUUACCUUGUAUGCGAAAAUGGUCAUUUUUACCAUUUUGUCUACAACUUGGUAUUUUGCUGAUUUUAGCCCGAAUUUCGAUUUUCCUUGCUCUAUCAUUUCAAAUAUAGCCUAAUUAUGACUCAUAUUAUUCAAAUCAACCCAAAAUCAUAUUUUGGAAAAAUUAUAAUUUUACCCCUAAACUUUCACAUAUUUACACUUUGCCCCAAAUCUCGUAAAUUAAACUUCAUCCUAUUUUCUUAUGUUUUAUGAUAUGCUGAUCAUUUUUCCCUUCUACAGAAACAUCCAAUUCUCACUCUAACAUGUACUUAUGAACAUUAGGUAUUUUUACCGAUUAUGUCAUUUUAGUCGUUUUUACGUAAAAUCACUUAGCAAAAGUUGUUUAACACAAUCUCAAGCUUUAUAUUCUACCAUAAAACAUCAAAAUUCAUGCAUAUCAUUCAUGGGUAAAUUUUUAAAUAUAAACCCUAGCUCAAAAUAUUGGUAGAAAUAGGUAAACCGAGCUACGGGGAUUUUAAAAAUGUAAAGAACUUUAAAAACGGGCAUAGAAAUCACUUACAAUCAAGGCUUAAAAGUGUUGAAACCCUAGCUAUGGUGGAGAGAAAAAUUUGGCAGCAAAUUAUGGAGAAGAUGAUCAUUUUUGUGUUAUUUUUCCAUUUUAUUUCAUUUAAUAUUCAAAUGACCAAAAUGCCCUUCUUUAUUAAACUUUCAAAAAUUCCAUCCAUGUCCAAUUUUCCAUAAACAUAGAAAUUGGUCAAAUUUCUAUUUAAGACCUCCUAAUUAAUAUUUCAAAGCAAUUUCAUACUAGAAACUUCUAGAAUGCAAGUUUUGUAACUUAUUCAAUUUAGUCCCUAACUUCAAAUUAAGCACUUUAUGCGUAGAAUUUCGUUACGAAAUUUUCACACAAUCAUGCAAUCAUAUCAUAGACCUCAAAAUAAUCAUAAAAUAAUUAUUUUUAUCUCAGAAUUGUGGUCCCGAAACCACUAUUCCAAUUAGGCCUAAUUCGAGAUAUCACAAACAGAGUACCCAACACCGAUUUAAUAGAUUGAUUAAUGAAUGCAACAUAAGAAUCAACAUGGAACUGACUUACCACCAAUGAAAAACCACCCCUAACGCGUAUUAAACAGUUGAAGUGCAAUUCUCUGCUCCACAAUCUACUCCUAAACACGAAUUACCACUAAUCAAUCACUACAGAAUGUUAUCGCUAAAAUCCCAAAAGUUAACGACAACAGUGUUCUACUUACCAAACCAAAAGGAGAACCUGACAAUUCCAAUAGCACGAUCGAACAACGGAUUCACGAGUCGAAUCGAAAGAGAAAUAAAAUAGAGGGAUGCCAGAAAAAGAGAAGAAAAUGUCAAGAAGGGGAAAAACAAAAGAAAUUAGACGUUAGAUUUCUUUAGAGGAGAGAGAAAUUUUUAGCAAAAAGAAAUAAAAAUAAGAGAUAUCCCACAUAUCUCUUAUUUUACUUCCACUAACCCACUACUCAUAACUCUCUCAAAAUUUUAGCUCUACCGAAACUCUAUUAAACAACCAAGCAAAAAUUAACAUCCAUACUUGCAAAGAGAUUCAAACACAGAACCUCCAACACACUAACUCACCACUCGAACAAGCUGGCUUAUUCUAAAAUGAAUUAACAAAAAAUUCUAUGUAAGCCCACUCCACAAGGGUAAAGGCUUGAACCAAAAAUAACAAAAAUUAUCAAAAGUGAAACUUGAACCUAAGACCUCAAACACACACUCAAAACUCUUAGCCACUAAAGCAAAUAUAUAUUCAUGUCAAAUAUUUACAAAAAUAGAAAUAAAUUAUUUAAGGCAUUACAGUAAUUGGUGAUUCUUCUUAAUACGGUGUAGUGAUUUUUUCGAGCCAAUUUUAUAUAAAAAAAAUUUUUCCAACACAUACGCAUCUAAUAAAAAUUUUAAGUUAUUUAAAAGAAUUAAAAUUAUAUUUUUAUUUAAAUAUCAUAUUACUAGUUAUAUACUCAUCCUAAUCACCAAUUCUUAUUUAUAAGCUAAAAGUGUCCACGAUUAGGCUAAGGGCUUCUAUACAUUAAACAUAGUAACAUAUUAAAUUUUAUUGUAUAAAAAAUAUUAAAUUUUAAUCUAAUUUGAGCUAUACAAAAUAUCAAAUUAUUAAUUUGAUAUUUUAAUAAUAAAUAUAAAAUAAAUAAAAUUGAAUAAUUAUAUAAAAUAUUCAACAAAAUUUUUUAAAAAAAAACCCCGCGAUACGUGGGCGAAGUUGCUGUGGUGGAAAUGAAAGUGAUUUAAGACCACUAGAAAAACAAUAAAUGUGGGAUUCAUCCUUUUUCCUCGAUAACUACUACAAUCUCAAUGCUUAUAUAAAUGUAUCUUAAUUAUUCCAUUGCAUCAAAAACUCUCAAUCUCUCUCUCACACACAUAUUCACACUUUUAAUAAUAUUUAAAAUGGAGAAAUCUUCUCGUUUGGUGUCAUCUUUAGUCCUUCUUAUGUUGAUUCUCCUAGCAACAGGUUUCUCUUUAAUUUUUUUUUUCAAAUUCUUGUUAAUUUAUUAUUUAAUUCGCUACAAAUUCAAAAUUUUUCAUACAAAAUAUUUGUAUUUAACAUGCUCAGAUGACCAUAAACUUAAGCAUGUCAACUCUUAAAUUAUAUAUAUACAUAUAAAUUUGAUAUUCACUCUUCGACAAAAUAGUAACCGGUGACAAUUAGUAUGAAGUUACCACAUUAACUAUAUAAGUUGGCUAUGGCCCAUUUUUCUUUGAGUAGUUUUAUUAUUAAUUCUUUAUUUAAUAUAUGUGCAUAUAUUAAAGCUAACCAUCCCAUAUGCUUAAAUAUAUUUUUUAUUUAUUUGACAUUCACUCUUAUAAUACUUAUGCAUCAUUAUGAAAUAAAACAGAGGUGGGACCUAUGGCAGUGGAAGGUAGAACAUGCGAGACUAAAAGUAGUGAAUACAAGGGGAUAUGCUUAUUUGAUGCUAAUUGUGAUAGUAUUUGCAAAGUAGAGCCGGGUUUCGAUGGUGGGCAUUGCCAUGGCUUUUUUCGCAGAUGCUACUGCACUAAACCUUGUUAAACAAGCAAUCUAUUAGGAUUUCUUUAUACUUAAAAAAUUUGCUUUAUUUACUCUUGUUAUGUGUGUGCUUGAGAGUUGAGAGAAUAAGAUCAACAACAUAUUGGUGUACAUUGAAUUCUAUUACUAUUGAAUAUAUCUAUAAUUUUUAUGUUCCAUAUGAAUUAACUUCUAAAUUAAUUCUCUUUAAUUCUAAUCUUUCUAUUUCUUCUUGGACUAUUUGUUUUAAAAUGUAUAUAAGUAAGACUAUAUGCUUGAAUUUGAGACUUACUUAUGAACCAUGCCAAAUUUGAUGAAAUUUAUAUAAUAAUUUUUUUUAUAUUGAAUUUCAUGGUAUGUGAUAAGCUAGUUAAUUACGUAUCUUUAAAAGACAAAACAAGCCACUACCUUCUUUUCAAUCGGUAAAAUUACAAUAAUUCAUUAUUGCAUAUUGAUAGAGUAUCACUGAUAGAGUAGUUGUAUAUUGGUAGUUGUGGUUUGUUAUCCAAGUGGUUAGUCUGUUACUCAGAGCAGUUACUAAGCUCUCUUCUAUAAAUAACAAUCUUGAUGGCAGUGGUUAGACUACCUUCUUGAUGUACAAAAGCAAUUCAAGGUUAGUUCAUUCAUAAAGUGUUUAGUCUAGUUUACCUUCUAUCAUGGUAUCAAUCGCCUAAGAUCUUGGUGGUCGCUUCCGCUCCGUGUUCAUGGAUCCGUUGGUUGAUCAGCCUACUGGUGCUUAGCUUCCUACUUCUGCUUCGCACUCUCGCCUGGUCUAUAGCUUCCCUCGUCAUGAGAUUGCUAAGCUAGAUGAGUCUAAUUUCGUCCAGUGGCAGCAUCAAGUCCGACUUAUUGUUGAUGGCUACGGUCUUCAAGGGUUCUUGGAUGGCUCAGUCACUGAAUUGCCGAAGGUGGUGGCCACAAACGAUGGUUGUCUUGCUCCAAAUCCAGAUGUGGUUUGGUUCACGCAGCAGGAUAAGCUGCUUGCCUCGUGGCUUCUAUCCACGGUGAGCUCGUCUCUUCUCUCUUAUUUCAUUUCGACUAAAUCUGCUUGUGAUAUUUGGAGUGUAGCAAGUCACCUCUUCGUCGCAACCUCAGUUGAGAAAGUUUCUCAGAUCCGUCAUGAUUUACACGCGGUUCGGAAGGGCAGAUCUACCGUCAAAGAAUAUGCGUCCAAAAUCAACACUCUUUGUGCCUUGCUUGUGGCGUCGGGAUCGGCCGUUUCAGAGGCGGAGAAGGUGGAAGUUCUUCUCGGAGGUCUCACCUCUGAUUUUGAUUCGGUCUUUAUGGUGGUUUCGGCCUCGUCGGAGCCCUUGACCUUUUCGAAAUUGGUGGACAUUCUUAUGGCCUUCGAGCGUCGCCAGUCCCGGGUAGUGCGUGAUGUGCCGUUGGUUGCACAUAUGGCUCAGGUUCCUAGUGCAGUGCCUGAUUAUGAUUCGCGUGGUGCUCGUGGUGGUCGGAUGCCGACUGGGUCGCGUGGUGGCUGAGCUUUUCGUUCGUGGGUGCAGUGUCAGAUUUGCAAUCGGUUUGGGCAUGUUGCCCAGCGGUGCUAUUAUCGCUUUGAUCGCGACUAUGAUGGACUAUCGGAGGCCGGUGCUACUGGUGGUGGUAAACCCGUCCGUCUGCAUCCUCUUGCACAACGACUUGAAGGAGGGCAGUGGGUUUGGCAACAGAACCCGAUUGCUGGUGAUAAUGGUCAGCCCAAUUGGGCUUCAUACUCUAUUGGACCGACUAGUGGGUUUUAUGCGCCUAGGCCGUCUGUGUAUGACCAUGUUAGCAGACCACCCGUAGCAAAAAGGAUGCAUCCGGAUUUGGGCUUGCAUUAAGGGCGUGAUUUUUUUGAUUGACAUGGGCCGAAUGGUGCAGGCCGAAUAUUUAAGCCAGCUGGGCCUAGUGGUCCAUCUUCAGCUCCUCGGGCUCCCUAUGUGUCUCAGCAGUCCCCUGGGUCUCCGGUUGUGCACUGUGUUGGUGUUAAUGGCUCCGUUCCGAAUGCUCCUCCUGAGGCUCCGUGGCGUACAAAACCUCGUGCUCUAGUUUUUGAUGUUGAUAAUUCUCAGCGUAUUGGCUUGCCUCGAAUACCGGACUUUUAUGCUUCUGAUUUUUCCGAUCCGUCUCGAUACGAUUCUAGCUAUGGUAGUGUUGACCCGUAUGGUACUACGCCUACUGGAACUCCUUCGUGGUACUCGGAUUCUGGAGCGUCCAAUCAUGUUUGUUAGAGUACUGCAGACUUGAAUGCUUCAACACUGUAUUCAGGUACAUCUAACCUUUUAAUGGGUAAUGGGGCUCCUACCAAAAUUUUAUCUAUUGGGG
This 6473-nucleotide long non-coding RNA is filed under the name Gossypium barbadense (sea-island cotton). RNAcentral's name for it is "long non-coding RNA (GBAR_LNC000078)". The record is from RNAcentral. Lineage: Eukaryota; Viridiplantae; Streptophyta; Magnoliopsida; Malvales; Malvaceae.